UAAGCACACCACAGAGGGAGUACGACCUCAAGGUUGAAACUCAAAGGAAUUGACAGGGCCCCGCACAAGCGGUGGAGCAUGUGGUUUAAUUCGAAGCAACGCGAAGAACCUUACCAAAUCUUGACAUCCUUUGACAACUCUAGAGAUAGAGCUUUCCCCUUCGGGGGACAAAGUGACAGGUGGUGCAUGGUUGUCGUCAGCUCGUGUCGUGAGAUGUUGGGUUAAGUCCCGCAACGAGCGCAACCCUUAAGCUUAGUUGCCAUCAUUAAGUUGGGCACUCUAAGUUGACUGCCGGUGACAAACCGGAGGAAGGUGGGGAUGACGUCAAAUCAUCAUGCCCCUUAUGAUUUGGGCUACACACGUGCUACAAUGGACAAUACAAAGGGCAGCGAAACCGCGAGGUCAAGCAAAUCCCAUAAAGUUGUUCUCAGUUCGGAUUGUAGUCUGCAACUCGACUACAUGAAGCUGGAAUCGCUAGUAAUCGUAGAUCAGCAUGCUCCGGUGAAUACGUUCCCGGGUCUUGUACACACCGCCCGUCACACCACUAGAGUUUGCAACAACCGA
This 564-nucleotide ribosomal RNA is filed under the name Staphylococcus aureus. RNAcentral describes it as "bacterial SSU rRNA". It matches the Rfam family "Bacterial small subunit ribosomal RNA", at positions 861 to 1424 of the family's 1533-position model. The record is from RNAcentral. Lineage: Bacteria; Bacillati; Bacillota; Bacilli; Caryophanales; Staphylococcaceae.